RNAcentral lists this ribosomal RNA (492 nucleotides) under uncultured bacterium. RNAcentral describes it as "partial 16S ribosomal RNA". It matches the Rfam family "Bacterial small subunit ribosomal RNA", at positions 29 to 507 of the family's 1533-position model. The record is from RNAcentral.
AGUGAACGCUGGCGGUAGGCCUAACACAUGCAAGUCGAACGGCAGCACAGUAAGAGCUUGCUCUUACGGGUGGCGAGUGGCGGACGGGUGAGGAAUACAUCGGAAUCUACUUUUUCGUGGGGGAUAACGUAGGGAAACUUACGCUAAUACCGCAUACGACCUACGGGUGAAAGCAGUGGAUCUUCGGACCUUGCGCGAUUGAAUGAGCCGAUGUCGGAUUAGCUAGUUGGCGGGGUAAAGGCCCACCAAGGCGACGAUCCGUAGCUGGUCUGAGAGGAUGAUCAGCCACACUGGAACUGAGACACGGUCCAGACUCCUACGGGAGGCAGCAGUGGGGAAUAUUGGACAAUGGGCGAAAGCCUGACCCAGCAAUACCGCGUGAGUGAAGAAGGUCUUCGGGUUGUAAAGCCCUUUUGUUGGGAAAGAAAAGCAGCAGGUUAAUCCCCCGCUGUUCUGACGGUACCCAAAGAAUAAGCACCGGCUAACUUCGUG